AUGAAGCUGGAUUCGCUAGUAAUCGCGCAUCAGCCACGGCGCGGUGAAUACGUUCCCGGGCCUUGUACACACCGCCCGUCAAGCCAUGGGAGCCGGGGGUGCUUGAAGUGCGUCGCCGCAAGGCGCGCCCUAGAGCAAAACCGGUGACUGGGGCUAAGUCGUAACAAGGUAGC
This 173-nucleotide ribosomal RNA is filed under the name uncultured bacterium. Its description in RNAcentral is "partial 16S ribosomal RNA". It matches the Rfam family "Bacterial small subunit ribosomal RNA", at positions 1320 to 1500 of the family's 1533-position model. The record is from RNAcentral.